This 198-nucleotide unclassified non-coding RNA is filed under the name uncultured fungus. RNAcentral's name for it is "sequence contains ITS1". Lineage: Eukaryota; Fungi. The record is from RNAcentral.
GUAUAUAUUAUUAUAUAGGCACAACAUUCUAUUGACAUACAUUGGGGUAAAUGAAGCAACAUAGACCUGAAAGGCCUACAAAAAGUGCACAGGUGGAGAUAUAAAGAUGACAAGGCGUGCACAUGCUCCCUAGAGAACCAGCAACAACCCAUCAGGUUUAUUUCAAUAAUGAUCCUUCCGCAGGUUCACCUACGGAAA